AACGAACGCUGGCGGCAUGCCUAACACAUGCAAGUCGAGCGGCAGCGGGAAGUAGCUUGCUACUUUGCCGGCGAGCGGCGGACGGGUGAGUAAUGUCUGGGAAACUGCCUGAUGGAGGGGGAUAACUACUGGAAACGGUAGCCAGUACCGCAUGACCUCGCAAGAGCAAAGUGGGGGACCUUCGGGCCUCACGCCAUCGGAUGUGC
RNAcentral lists this ribosomal RNA (206 nucleotides) under uncultured bacterium. RNAcentral describes it as "partial 16S ribosomal RNA". It matches the Rfam family "Bacterial small subunit ribosomal RNA", at positions 29 to 230 of the family's 1533-position model. The record is from RNAcentral.